RNAcentral lists this ribosomal RNA (473 nucleotides) under uncultured bacterium. RNAcentral describes it as "bacterial SSU rRNA". It matches the Rfam family "Bacterial small subunit ribosomal RNA", at positions 33 to 507 of the family's 1533-position model. The record is from RNAcentral.
AGUCGGCUACGAGGACGACGCUGGCGGCGUGCUUAACACAUGCAAGUCGAACGGUAAGGCCCUUCGGGGUACACGAGUGGCGAACGGGUGAGUAACACGUGGGUGAUCUGCCCUGCACUUCGGGAUAAGCUUGGGAAACUGGGUCUAAUACCGGAUAGGACCACGGUCUGCAUGGAUUGUGGUGGAAAGCUUUGCGGUGUGGGAUGGGCCCGCGGCCUAUCAGCUUGUUGGUGGGGUGAUGGCCUACCAAGGCGACGACGGGUAGCCGGCCUGAGAGGGUGUCCGGCCACACUGGGACUGAGAUACGGCCCAGACUCCUACGGGAGGCAGCAGUGGGGAAUAUUGCACAAUGGGCGCAAGCCUGAUGCAGCGACGCCGCGUGGGGGAUGACGGCCUUCGGGUUGUAAACCUCUUUCAGCAUCGACGAAGCGCAAGUGACGGUAGAUGCAGAAGAAGCACCGGCCAACUACGUG